UGAGGAAUAUUGGUCAAUGGGCGGGGAGCCUGAACCAGCCAAGUCGCGUGAGGGAAGACGGUCCUACGGAUUGUAAACCUCUUUUGCCGGGGAGCAACGGGGUCCUUGCGAGGGCCCGAUGAGAGUACCCGGAGAAAAAGCAUCGGCUAACUCCGUGCC
RNAcentral lists this ribosomal RNA (159 nucleotides) under uncultured bacterium. RNAcentral's name for it is "partial 16S ribosomal RNA". It matches the Rfam family "Bacterial small subunit ribosomal RNA", at positions 355 to 509 of the family's 1533-position model. The record is from RNAcentral.